Molecule: ribosomal RNA, 331 nt
Filed under: bacterium a24(2011)
Lineage: Bacteria
Description: SSU rRNA
Rfam family: Bacterial small subunit ribosomal RNA
Source: RNAcentral
UGAAGAAGGUUUUCGGAUCGUAAAACUCUGUUGUAAGGGAAGAACACGUACGAGAGUAACUGCUCGUACCUUGACGGUACCUUAUUAGAAAGCCACGGCUAACUACGUGCCAGCAGCCGCGGUAAUACGUAGGUGGCAAGCGUUGUCCGGAAUUAUUGGGCGUAAAGCGCGCGCAGGCGGUUCUUUAAGUCUGAUGUGAAAGCCCACGGCUCAACCGUGGAGGGUCAUUGGAAACUGGAGAACUUGAGUACAGAAGAGGAAAGCGGAAUUCCACGUGUAGCGGUGAAAUGCGUAGAGAUGUGGAGGAACACCAGUGGCGAAGGCGGCUUUC